UUGUUGUUUUCUGUUCUUCCAUGAGCUGAGCCCCCUCCUCAUUUUCCCUCCCCAAAUCUUCACAAAAAUGCAAGAAUCCAGCCCUGCAUGUCACACCACAAGAUCCCCAUAAUUCUAAGCUUUCCAUCCAUCCAAAUAGCUUGCACAUGCAUGGAGAGUUGAGAGAGAUCGAGAAGGAAUAAGAGAGUGGUGUUUUCAGCAGCAGCAGCAGUUUGUUUUCCUCCACUUUGGUCAUCCACUUGUUGUUGCAGCUAGAAGGUGGCUGCAACUCACCCCGAUUUCAUCUCUUUUGAUUUCGGUUGAAGCAACCCCUAAGCAACGUCUUUUGCCAUCAGCCCGGGGCUUUGCUUCGUCUCUUGCCGUCAUCCCAAGGCCUUAGCCUUGCACAAUACCAUGUCCAGUCUGCUACCAUGUGAGCCAAGUCUGGUGGAAGUUGGUGCAAAAGGGGAGGGAAAAGAGAAAUCAAUUUUCUAAAAUAGUUUGAGCUGAAAAAGAUUUGGCGAAUCCGGGGAGUAACGAGCCACACCCAGAGGAGGAUAGUGACCACCCUCAGCAGCAAGG
Molecule: long non-coding RNA, 561 nt
Organism: Oryza brachyantha (malo sina)
Lineage: Eukaryota; Viridiplantae; Streptophyta; Magnoliopsida; Poales; Poaceae
Exons: 3
Source: RefSeq, a predicted model, not a curated record